RNAcentral lists this ribosomal RNA (292 nucleotides) under uncultured bacterium. Its description in RNAcentral is "partial 16S ribosomal RNA". It matches the Rfam family "Bacterial small subunit ribosomal RNA", at positions 505 to 796 of the family's 1533-position model. The record is from RNAcentral.
GUGUCAGCCGCCGCGGUAAUACGGAGGGGGCAAGCGUUGUUCGGAAUCAUUGGGCGUAAAGGGCGCGUAGGCGGCCGUGCAAGUCGGGUGUGAAAUCCCUCGGCUCAACCGAGGAACUGCACUCGAUACUGCUUGGCUAGAGUCCGGGAGGGGAUGGUGGAAUUCCCAGUGUAGCGGUGAAAUGCGUAGAUAUUGGGAAGAACACCGGUGGCGAAGGCGGCCAUCUGGACCGGCACUGACGCUGAGGCGCGAAAGCCAGGGGAGCGAAUGGGAUUAGAAACCCUUGUAGUCC